AGAAGGCUGGAAGCCCACGGAAGCCAUGCUGGAUUUGAGCCCAGAUCCCAAAUCUCCAGCCUGUUGUCUUCUCACCACCCACAAGCGCAGGGAGGUUGGUGGCUGUGUGCCAGCGACCCUCCAUGCUGGGACCACCUGCCCGAGCCCCACUCAGACAACUGGGACAAGCUGGUGUUGGUGUCCAUCGAUCCCGGGACGGGGCCUCUACCCAGGGGUCUCCAGUUGGCAGAGAUGGACAGAACCUCACACAUCCAAUGGGAAGGAGCUAUCGUCCUACGUGCCUGGCUUCUGUCUCAGGCCUCAGCAAUGGCAGAAGUGACCUCCAACCACUGGUAUUUCUGAGGGGCUUUGAAUCUAACCAAAGUGCCACUGCAGUCUGUCCACACCCGGGCCUAGGUCCCGUCUCUCACAUCGUUGUGAUCCAUCAACACGCGCCGACGGUUCAUUCCAUUAUCCGAAUGCAGCUUCCGCUGCCGUGUCAUCUGUCUGGGGUACAUACCUGGGAGGGGAAGGUUAAUUCGAUAUUCAAGUUCAUUCCCAAAGUGACCACCCGCUUACAUGCUCAUCUGUGACAGAGACACCACAAACCCUCUAGGCAACUGGCUUGUCAGUUCAUGACGUGCGCCACUUGAAUGGGGUGCACGACGGUACUUUCUUCGCGGUCUUGAUUUACAAGGAAUGCCAGAAUUGCUAGUGGGGCUGAGCAUCGUUUUUUGGCCUUACUUCCUCUUUCACGAAAUACCUGUUAACACCUUCCUUCUCUGUGGGGUUUUUCUCUGGACAAUUUGCCGGAAUUCUUUACAUGUAUAUAUAUAUACAUAUUUAAAAAUUUUUUUAUUUACUGACAGAGAAAGAGAGGAGGCAUCCUGGAGAGGGGCAGAGAGAAUCCCAAGCAGGCCCCAUACCGGCAUUAGAGUCUAACACAGGGCUUCAACCUACAAACCGUGAGAUCAUGACCUGAUCUGAAACCGAGCGUCUGAUGCUUCAACUGAGCCACCCAGGCGCCCCUGCAGGAAUUCUUUACACACCCCUCAUCUUUUGUUUUAGUCUUUAACGUGUCUUUUCAUUUUGUUUAUAUUUUGAUAGAAUACCUUGAAAAAAUAUCUAGGGGCGCCGGGGUGGCUCAGUUGGUUAAGUGGCCGCCUUCAGCUCAGGUCAUGAUGUCUGAGUUCAAGCCCCGCGCUGGGUUGACAGCUCAGAGCCUGGAGCCUGCUUCCGAUUCUGUGUCUCCCUCUCUCUCUGACCCUCCCCCACUCACACUCUGUGUCUCUCAAAAAUAAACAUUAAAAUAAAAAAAUAUCUAUUGAGCAUACUCUUAGUUUCAAGAAUAUAAUGCAUGAGAAAGACCCUACAGAUUCCAAGGCACCUUGGUGCUAUUUACAGAAUCUCUAGGCUACCUGAAAAGCUGCUCUGACUUCCCUCCCUCCCAAUCCCAUUCAAAAAGAGAAGCUUCGAGGCCAGUAAUAAUGAAUAAUUUUAUUAACGUUUACCUUGUUUGUCUCCAACAGUGAACAAAAGAACAGGUACAGGAAACAAUUCUCUCUGGUCCCCAAACUGCAUACCAAAGAGCCCGCCAUCGUGAAACAGUUUUUGCUUUUAUUUGUAUAUUUGGUAUUUUACGCUUAGAGGGUGGUUACAGAUGGGGGAAGAGAUUAGUAGUAGGUUAUAAUUAAGUACAGUCUUCAUCGUUUUGGUUCAUGUUCAUGACAACAAACUGCAAAAGGAAGCCUCUCAGAGGGAUGUUAUAAGCCUGUUGACUUCCUGUGAGUAUCAAACGUCUCACCGUUGUUCAAGAUUGGCCAAGAAAGCGCAAAGGACAGACCAAAGCUCUUCAUCAAAACUUGAAAGGCAGAUGCGGGGAGGCCCCGGCCGGAUGCUCCCAAGGACACACGAGGGGGUCCAGCCCAAGCAACUGGCCAUCCGUUAGGUCUCCCUGCAGCUCUGCGGUUUCAUGGCUGUUCGUCUGGCGAACCGGGUCUGGGGAGCGUGGGGCACACCAGGUGACGGCCACCUGCGAUGCACGUUGGACUGCUAUCCUGUAUGGAGGAUCCUUUAGAGAUCCCAGGAUGGGACACCCUGUCGGCUUCCCCUCCCGACUUCCCGGAAAGAAAACUGGCAAGAAGUCCACUGGGCAAGACCCACCCCAUUCUCCACCAGACCGAGGUGCCGUGCGCGCGCGCGCGCACACACACACACACACACACACACACACACACACACACACACACACACGACACCGGGCCCUGGCAGGUCCCACUGCGGUUAACAUUCAAAAAACAAUCCUUGCACAGGCUAGUGGCCCCACAUGACCUCAGGAGCCAUGUGGAAUCUGAGAAGAGGGUGGAGGGAAACAACAGAGUAUUUAAGGUACUACUCAUGAAAAGAAACAGAGGCACGUGGCUGGCUCAGCGGGUAGAAUAUGUGACUCUUGAUCCCAAGGUUGUAAGUUCGAGCCCCACAAUAGGCAGUUUCUCUCUAAGUAAACGAACAGGUUUAAGAAUCCCUCGGGGCCACGGAGCAGUCUCACUGCACAGCAAAGGAAUGCUGUUUCUAGUGAGUCUCAAGCAGGAACUGCUUUCCGGGUUACUGUUAACAGGCUCUUGCUCUCAACUAACUUCUCUACCAAGCAGCCUCCUUCAACAAGAAAACCAGGCCAUUCCUUAGAACCCUGAGUCGAGUGUGGACGCCAGGCAACAAUUCCAGCAUCUUCCUCCUUGACCCAAAUGCACACCUCCUGACCUCGCCGCUUCUGCCUCCUGCUAAGACCUCUGAGUCAAGAUGGGCAGCCCCGGCUUCUGGAAGUCUGCCGUGCAAACUUCUCUGUUGAGCCCUGGAGAAACAAUCUGGCCUCUGACAAAAUGGGCUCUGAGAGAAGAACAUUCUUAGAAACCUGAGCCCCUUAUUAAAAGGGCCCAACCUGGCACUCCGUUAAAUUUUGUUUCUCUGAAGGCAGUUCAAGAAUAAGUAGGGGGGAAAAAUGCAGAGAGAGAAACCAGGCAUCAACUGUCUGUCUACACUAAACCUAUUUCCAGAACAUUCAUAGUUGGUAUAAACUUUUAUUUAGGUGCUUACUUGGGGAAAGAUGUGCCUUCCUCUCUUAAUUCAGUUACUGAGAGGAGACAGAUACUAAAACGUUUUCAGUACUACAGGCCAAGGAACAGGUGCCUGUCAAGAGAAACGC
Long non-coding RNA from Felis catus (domestic cat), 3181 nucleotides. RefSeq lists it as uncharacterized. The record is from RefSeq and is a predicted model, not a curated record. The transcript has 2 exons. NCBI's taxonomy places the organism in Eukaryota, Metazoa, Chordata, Mammalia, Carnivora, Felidae.